This 386-nucleotide ribosomal RNA is filed under the name uncultured bacterium. RNAcentral's name for it is "bacterial SSU rRNA". It matches the Rfam family "Bacterial small subunit ribosomal RNA", at positions 30 to 416 of the family's 1533-position model. The record is from RNAcentral.
AUUGAACGCUGGCGGCAUGCCUUACACAUGCAAGUCGAACGGCAGCACGGGAGCAAUCCUGGUGGCGAGUGGCGAACGGGUGAGUAAUAUAUCGGAACGUGCCCAGUCGUGGGGGAUAACUACUCGAAAGAGUGGCUAAUACCGCAUACGAUCUACGGAUGAAAGCGGGGGACCUUCGGGCCUCGCGCGAUUGGAGCGGCCGAUAUCAGAUUAGGUAGUUGGUAGGGUAAAAGCCUACCAAGCCUGCGAUCUGUAGCUGGUCUGAGAGGACGACCAGCCACACUGGAACUGAGACACGGUCCAGACUCCUACGGGAGGCAGCAGUGGGGAAUUUUGGACAAUGGGCGCAAGCCUGAUCCAGCAAUGCCGCGUGCAGGAAGAAGGCC